CCUACGGGAGGCAGCAGUGAGGAAUAUUGGUCAAUGGCCGAGAGGCUGAACCAGCCCAGUCGCGUGAGGGAAGACGGCCCUACGGGUUGUAAACCUCUGUUGUCGGGGAGCAAAGCGAGUCACGUGUGACUCAUUGAGAGUACCCGAAGAAAAAGCAUCGGCUAACUCCGUGCCAGCAGCCGCGGUAAUACGGAGGAUGCGAGCGUUAUCCGGAUUUAUUGGGUUUAAAGGGUGCGCAGGCGGAGGUGCAAGUCAGCGGUCAAAUUGCGGGGCUCAACCCCGUACUGCCGUUGAAACUGCAGCCCUUGAGUGCGCGAGAAGUAUGCGGAAUGCGUGGUGUAGCGGUGAAAUGCAUAGAUAUCACGCAGAACUCCGAUUGCGAAGGCAGCAUACCGGCGCGCAACUGACGCUCAUGCACGAAAGCGUGGGUAUCGAACAGGAUUAGAUACCCGGGUAGUC
RNAcentral lists this ribosomal RNA (459 nucleotides) under uncultured bacterium. RNAcentral describes it as "partial 16S ribosomal RNA". It matches the Rfam family "Bacterial small subunit ribosomal RNA", at positions 338 to 795 of the family's 1533-position model. The record is from RNAcentral.